CCGAGUUUACAACUCCCAAACCCCUGUGAACAUACCUUUAUGUUGCCUCGGCGGAUCAGCCGCGCCCCCGUAAAACGGGACGGCCCGCCGCAGGAAACCCUAAACUCUGUUUUUAGUGGAACUUCUGAGUAUAAAAAACAAAUAAAUCA
RNAcentral lists this unclassified non-coding RNA (149 nucleotides) under soil metagenome. RNAcentral describes it as "partial internal transcribed spacer 1". The record is from RNAcentral.